This is a long non-coding RNA of Hypanus sabinus (Atlantic stingray), 4638 nucleotides long. RefSeq lists it as uncharacterized. The transcript is spliced from 3 exons. Lineage: Eukaryota; Metazoa; Chordata; Chondrichthyes; Myliobatiformes; Dasyatidae. The record is from RefSeq and is a predicted model, not a curated record.
AUGAAACAUAUAUCAGUGAUGUUGUGGAUAGCACAGACAUUUGCCAAAGGAGAGAGCAGAUAUUUGCAAAUAUGGGCAGAGAAAUGGCAGAUGGUGUUUAAUCCAGGCAAGUAUGAGGUGUUGCACUUUGGGAAGUCGAGUGUAAAGGGACACUAUAGGAAGGAUGUUGAGUCUUUGGAGAGGGUGAAAGGGAGGUUUACCAGGAUGCUGCCUGGUUUAGAGGGCAUGUGCUAUCACGAGAGGCUGGACAAACUUGGGUUGUUUUCUCUAGAGCGUCAGGGGAUCUGAAAGAGGUUAUGAGAAGCAUAGAUAGAUUGGACAGAGUGUUGCCCAGGGUAGAAUUGUCAAAUACCAGAGUGCAUGCAUUGAAGGUGAGAGGGGGGAUGUGAGGGUAAGUUGAUUACUCAGAGAGUGGUGGAUGCCUGGAAUGUGCUGCCUGGUGUGGUGGUGGAGGCAAAUACAUUAGAGGCUUUUUAGAGAUACUCAGAUAGGCACCUGGAUGUAAGGAAAUGGAGGGAUAUGGACAUGGAGAAGGUGGGAGGGAUUAGUGUUUGGGUGUGUUUGAUUUGCCUCUUAGCUGGUUUGGCACAACAUUGUGGGCUGAAUGGCCUGUUCCAUGUUCUGUACAUUGUACGUGGACCCUGGAGUUAGCAGAGGGAUCUUGGGGUGUUGGUCCACAGGUCCCUGAAAGUGGCUGCUCUGGUGGAUAAGGUGGUAAAGAAGGUCUUUAUCAGCUAAGGGACGGAGCUGGGAAGUUCAUGUUGAAGGUUUACAAAGUUCUGGUCAGGCCAUAUCCGGAGUCUUAUGCUCAUUGCCGGUCACCCCAUUACAGGAAGGGUGUGGAGGCUUUGGAGAGAAUCCAGAAGAGGCUGCCUGGUGUAGAGGGCAGGAGCUACAUGGAGAGGUCAACAAACUUGAGUUGUUUUCUCUGGAGUUGUUUCCUCUCCCUCCCCCUCACUUUCCCCCUCCCUCUCCCUCUCCCUCCCUCUCACUCUCCCUACCAUCCCCUCCCCUUAAUCCCCCUUGCUCUUACCCUCAAAUUCCCUCCCCUUUGCACUCCCCCCUUCCCACUCACCCCUUCCCCUCCCACUCCCCCCUCCCACUCUCCCCUUCCCCUCCCUCCCCUGCGCCCCUCUUCCCACCCUCGCCCCCUCCCCUCACACCUGCCCCACUGACCCAUUCCCCCCACCUUAGUAGUCAGUAACAUCCACCUCUUCUCUUCCCUGAUUCCUUCUCCCCCUCCCCCUCUGUCACCCACUUCCUGUCACCUCCCUCCAUCUUUUCUCCACCAAUGAGCUAAGAGAGAGUGGAUGAGAUCAUCUGGGUGAAGACCAAUCAACUGCAGCGGAUCAUCCGGACCGGACGGACUGGCCAUUGGCUAAACCACGGCAAGGAGCACUGCCUGGUGGGGGUGAAGGGAAACCCUCAGGGCUUCAACCGUGGGCUGGACUGCGAUGUCACUGUGGCUGAGGUCCGAUCCACCAGCCACAAGCCAGACGAGAUCUGUGGGAUGAUCGAGCGACUGUCCCCAGGGACACGCAAAAUUGAACUGUUUGGGAGGCCGCACAACGUCCAGCCCAACUGGUGAGUCCGCGCCUGACCCCAGGAGCACGUGAUGGGAUGCUGCAGAGAGAGCUUCACUGUGUGCCUGGCCGCAUGAGUGUGUGAUGGGACGGUGUGGAGGGAGUUUCACUGUGUGCCUGGCCACAUGAGUGUGUGAUGGGACGGUGUGGAGGGAGUUUCACUCUGUGUCUGACCCCGGGAGUGUGUGAUGGGACGGUGUGCAGGGGGUUUCACUCUGUGUCUGACCCCAGGAGUGUGUGAUGGGACGGUGUGGAGGGAGUUUCACUCUGUGUCUGACCCCGGGAGUGUGUGAUGGGACGGUGUGGAGGGAGUUUCACUCUGUGUCUGACCCCGGGAGUGUGAGAUGGGACGGUGUGGUGGGAGAUUCACUCUGUGUCUGACUCCGGGAGUGUGUGAUGGGACGGUGUGGGGGGAGUUUCACUCUGUGUCUGACCCCAGGAGUAUGUGAUGGACAGUGUGGAGGGAGAUUCACUCUGUGUCUGACCUGUGGUAUGUGUGAUGGGACGGUGUGGAGGGUGAAUUGUCUGCUGUGGCAGGUAAUCCCUUUGCUGCCAUCUCUGUCCUCACCUCGAUGCUCACAGUGUCGAACAAUAAACUUUACUUCAGUUGGCAAACUCUCAAUGGCCGCAUCUUCCUGCAUGGCUUCCGCCUACAGCAUGGCGCACCCUCCUCACCGUCCCUACCACGGUGUGUAUUUCCCUCCUCACCAUCCUUCCCGCGAUGUGGAGUUCCCUCCUCACCGUCCCUACUGCGGUGUGGAGUUCCCUCCUCACCGUCCCUACCGCAGUGUGGAGUUCCCUCCUCACCGUCCCUACCGCAGUGUGGAGUUCCCUCCUCACCGUCCCUCCCGCGGUGUGGAGUUCCCUCCUCACCGUCCCUACUGCAGUGUGGAGUUCCCUCCUCACCGUCCCUCCCGCGGUGUGGAGUUCCCUUCUCAGCAUUUUCUCCUACAGUGCCGCGCUCCCUCUUCAAUACCCAGUGACAGGGAUGCGGGAAUCGUGCAUGGUACAGUAGGGUGGCUCUGACACAGCAGAUACGGAGGUAGGGACAGUGUACGGUACUCCCCGUGUGGGUCCUGCCCUGUGAUACGGAGACGGGAACCAUGCACAGUACAGUAGGGUGGCUCUGACACGGCAGAUUCGGAUGUAGGGACAGUGUACGGUACUCCCCGUGUGGGUCCUGCCCUGCGAUACAGAGACGGGAACCGUGCACGGUACUAGGGUGGCUCUGACACGGCAGAUACGGAGGUAGGGACAGUGUACGGUACUCCCCGUGUGGGUCCUGCCCUGUGAUACGGAGACGGGAACCAUGCACAGUACAGUAGGGUGGCUCUGACACGGCAGAUUCGGAUGUAGGGACAGUGUACGGUACUCCCCGUGUGGGUCCUGCCCUGCGAUACAGAGACGGGAACCGUGCACGGUACUAGGGUGGCUCUGACACGGCAGAUACGGAAGUAGGGACAGUGUACGGUACUCCCCGUGUGGGUCCUGCCCUGCGAUACGGAGACUGGAACCGUGCACGGUACUAGGGUGGCUCUGAUACGGCAGAUACGGAGACGGGAACCGUGCACGGUACUAGGGUGGCUCUGAUACGGAGGUAGGGACAGUGUACGGUACUCCCAUUGUGGGUCCUACCCUGCGAUACGGAGACGGGAACCGUGCACGGUACUAGGGUGGCUCUGACACGGCAGAUACGGAGAUAGGGACAGUGUACGGUACUCCCAUUGUAGGUCCUACCCUGCGAUACGGAGACGGGAACCAUGCACGGUACUAGGGUGGCUCUGAGGUGGAAGAGACAUUGUUGUGCUUUUUUUUGCCACACAGUUGGCGUGUACAGGCCAGAUGAGAUCAUCGGUGAUGUGUAUACCGAGGAACUUGAAACUACUCACCCUCUCAACUGCAGACCCAUCAAUGUUGAUCAGGCCGAGCCUGUCUCUGUUCCUUCUGUAAUCCACGAAGAACUCUUUUUUUUCGUUUGGACAUUGAGGGAGAGGUUGUUAUCCUGGUAUCACUGUGUCAGGGUGUCAACCUCUCUGUAGGCUGUCUCAUCACUGCCAGAAAUAGGCCGAUCAAAGUCAUGUCACCUGCGAAUCCGAUCAGCAGUUUGGAGCUGUGUGUGGCAGCACAGUCGUGGGUGUAAAGGGAAUAGAGAGGGGACUCAGGACACAAACCUGGGGGGCUCCUGUGUUGAGGGUCAGAGGUCCUUACCACCUGUCGGCGAUCCAGUAGGAAGUCUAGGAUCCAGCUGCACAAGACGGGAUGCAGGCCGAGGUCUCUGAGCUUCCUGUCAAGUUUGCAGUGAAUUACGGUGUUGAACGCUGAACUGUAGUCCAGGAACAACAUUCUAAUGGUGCACGAGUUUGGGGCUGUCCCAGGGGAUACAGAGAGCAGAUGUCACAUUGAGAAAGGCUGUUGUUUUUGUUGAAGAUGAACCGGCCCCCAGCUCUGGGCAUGGCUGCAGGGUUCCGCAGUAUGCUGGUGAGGGGGAGAGAACUGUCCACCUUUAUGAGAGUUCACAUUCAGGGUGGAAAGUCCCCGCCCCUGCUUGCUUGCUUGCUCACUCCCCCUUCCUGAGGGACAUCUGUCUACUGACUGGUAUCUCUCAGACUCCCUCGGGGGGGAAGAUCUGUGUACUGAACUCUAUCUAUAUUUAUUUGAAAUUUAUUUAUUAUGUUUAGUUCUGCUCAGUCUUUUGUACUACUGUGUACGUGGGUCUUCCGAACGUGAGAAGACUAUGACGAACUCCACGUCUUUGUGGGAUCAGUCCCUGUCGCCUGGGCGACGUGGGGAAAUGACUUUGCUGACAUCUGCAUCCACAAUCCCUACCAGCAGUGUUGCCUCCCUGGCAGACUUUUUUGUGUGGGUGGAGUCUUUUCACCACCACUGCCACGAGUGGGUGGGAGAGGUGAGGACAGGACCUGUGGGUCUUGGUGUCCCUUUCACCUGGGAGGGAGUCUGGGAGUCCUCACUAAUUUAUAUUUAACGAUGCUAACUUUCCUCUUCGCGAUGCGAAGUCUUUAACUCGCCACAGAAGCAAAAUAAAAGUCUUUUCAGA